GAACUGGUGUCCCGAUACAGGCAAUGAAGAUAUGAAUUCGCCCCUCCCACACAAAGUGACAACAAAAAGCCAUCAGCCUUGGUUUCCAAGAUGAGUUUUCUCCUUGCGAUUCAGCCUCAAGCAGAUCUGUAGAUAACCCUAUAGCCUGAGGAAGAGGAGCUUCUGCAAACGUGACUGAAGGAAGCCCCCAUACAAGCACUGACCAUGUCUUAACCAAGCUUCCAGCCAAAACACAAUUAGAGCGAAAAGCUGAGCUUUGCGGAAAGGAAGAGGUGAAACUGUG
RNAcentral lists this long non-coding RNA (283 nucleotides) under Gallus gallus (chicken). The record is from RNAcentral. Lineage: Eukaryota; Metazoa; Chordata; Aves; Galliformes; Phasianidae.